Molecule: ribosomal RNA, 305 nt
Filed under: uncultured bacterium
Lineage: Bacteria
Description: bacterial SSU rRNA
Rfam family: Bacterial small subunit ribosomal RNA
Source: RNAcentral
UGUUUCCUACGGGGGGCAGCAGUGAGGAAUAUUGGUCAAUGGGCGUAAGCCUGAACCAGCCAAGUCGCGUGAGGGACGACGGCCCUACGGGUUGUAAACCUCUUUUGCCGGGGGACAAACGGCGGCACGCGUGCCGUCCUGAGGGUACCCGGAGAAAAAGCAUCGGCUAACUCCGUGCCAGCAGCCGCGGUAAUACGGAGGAUGCGAGCGUUAUCCGGAUUUAUUGGGUUUAAAGGGAGCGUAGGCCGGUCUUUAAGCGUGCCGUGAAAUUUUGUGGCUCAACCAUGAGAGUGCGGCGCGAACUG